GGCAGCAGGCCAUCUAACAGGAGGCAGUAGGCCAUCUAACAGGAGGCAGCAGGUCAUCUAACAGGAGGCAGCAGGUCAUCUAACAGGAGGCAGUAGGCCAUCUAACAGGAGGCAGCAGGUCAUCUAACAGGAGGCAGCAGGCCAUCUAACAGGAGGCAGCAGGCCAUCUAACAGGAGGCAGCAGGCCAUCUAACAGGAGGCAGUAGGCCAUCUAACAGGAGGCAGCAAGUCAUCUAACAGGAGGCAGCAGGUCAUCCAACAGGGGGCAGCAGGUCAUCUAACAGGGGCAGCAGGUCAUCUAACAGGGGGCAGCAGGUCAUCUAACAGGGGGCAGUAGGUCAUCUAACAGGGGGCAGCAGGUCAUCUAACAGCGGGCAGCAGGUCAUCUAACAGGGGGCAGCAGGUCAUCUCACAGGAGGCAGCAGGCCAUGUUACAGGGGGCAGCAG
Long non-coding RNA from Oncorhynchus tshawytscha (Chinook salmon), 447 nucleotides. The record is from Ensembl. Lineage: Eukaryota; Metazoa; Chordata; Actinopteri; Salmoniformes; Salmonidae.